AGCCAGACUCCUACGGGAGGCAGCAGUGGGGAAUAUUGCACAAUGGGGGAAACCCUGAUGCAGCGACGCCGCGUGAGCGAGGAAGUAUUUCGGUAUGUAAAGCUCUGUCAGCAGGGAAGAAGAAUGACGGUACCUGAAGAAGAAGCACCGGCUAAAUACGUGCCAGCAGCCGCGGUAAUACGUAUGGUGCAAGCGUUAUCCGGAUUUACUGGGUGUAAAGGGAGCGCAGGCGGCACGGCAAGCCUGAUGUGAAAGCCCGCGGCCCAACCGCGGGACUGCAUUGGGAACUACCGGGCUGGAGUGCCGGAGAGGUAGGCGGAAUUCCUAGUGUAGCGGUGAAAUGCGUAGAUAUUAGGAGGGACACCAGUGGCGAAGGCGGCCUGCUGGACGAUGACUGACGUUGAGGCUCGAAAGCGUGGGGAGCAAACAGGACUAGAUACCCCGGUA
RNAcentral lists this ribosomal RNA (447 nucleotides) under uncultured bacterium. RNAcentral describes it as "bacterial SSU rRNA". It matches the Rfam family "Bacterial small subunit ribosomal RNA", at positions 329 to 792 of the family's 1533-position model. The record is from RNAcentral.